Molecule: ribosomal RNA, 466 nt
Filed under: uncultured bacterium
Lineage: Bacteria
Description: partial 16S ribosomal RNA
Rfam family: Bacterial small subunit ribosomal RNA
Source: RNAcentral
GAUGAACGCUGGCGGCGUGCUUAACACAUGCAAGUCGAACGGAAAGGCUCCUGCUUGCCGGGGUACUCGAGUGGCGAACGGGUGAGUAACACGUGGGUGAUCUGCCCUGCACUUCGGUAUAAGCCUGGGAAACUGGGUCUAAUACCGGAUAGGACGAUGGUUUGGAUGCCAUUGUGGAAAGUUUUUCGGUGUGGGAUGAGCUCGCGGCCUAUCAGCUUGUUGGUGGGGUAAUGGCCUACCCAGGCGUCGACGGGUAGCCGGCCUGAGAGGGUGUACGGCCACAUUGGGACUGGGGAACGGCCCAGGCUCCUACGGGGGGCAGGAGUGGGGAAUAUUGCACAAUGGGGGGAAGCCUGAUGCAACGACGCCGCGUGGGGGAAGACGGCCUUCGGGUUGGAAACCCCUUUCGCUAGGGACGGAGCGUUUUGUGACGGUACCUGGAGAAGAAGCACCGGCUAACUACGUG